This is a non-coding RNA of Triticum urartu, 119 nucleotides long. Lineage: Eukaryota; Viridiplantae; Streptophyta; Magnoliopsida; Poales; Poaceae. The record is from Rfam.
AGAUGCGAUCAUACCAGCACUAAAGCAUCGGAUCCCAUCAGAACUCCGAAGUUAAGCAUGCUUGGGCGAGAGUAGUACUAGGAUGGGUGACCUCCUGGGAAGUCCUCAUGUUGCAUUCC